This 229-nucleotide ribosomal RNA is filed under the name uncultured bacterium. RNAcentral's name for it is "partial 16S ribosomal RNA". It matches the Rfam family "Bacterial small subunit ribosomal RNA", at positions 568 to 796 of the family's 1533-position model. The record is from RNAcentral.
UGCGUAGGCGGAUUAAUAAGUCAGUGGUGAAAUCUUUCGGCUCAACCGAGAAACUGCCAUUGAUACUGUUAAUCUUGAGUUCGGUUGAGGUAGGCGGAAUGUGUAAUGUAGCGGUGAAAUGCUUAGAUAUUACACAGAACACCAAUUGCGUAGGCAGCUUACGAGACCGACACUGACGCUGAGGCACGAAAGCGUGGGGAGCGAACAGGAUUAGAUACCCUGGUAGUCC